UAGGGAAUAUUGGACAAUUGGGGCAACCCUGAUCCAGCCAUGCCGCGUGAGUGAAGAAGGCCCUCGGGUUGUAAAGCUCUUUUGUCCGGAAAGAAAAGCUUCGGGUUAAUACCCCGGGGUUCUGACGGUACUGGAAGAAUAAGCACCGGCUAACUUCGUGCCAGCAGCCGCGGUAAUACGAAGGGUGCAAGCGUUACUCGGAAUUACUGGGCGUAAAGCGUGCGUAGGUGGUUGUUUAAGUCUGAUGUGAAAGCCCUGGGCUCAACCUGGGAAUGGCAUUGGAAACUGGGCAGCUAGAGUGCGGUAGAGGGUAGUGGAAUUCCCGGUGUAGCAGUGAAAUGCGUAGAGAUCGGGAGGAACAUCUGUGGCGAAGGCGACUGCCUGGACCAGCACUGACACUGAGGCACGAAAGCGUGGGGAGCGAACA
Molecule: ribosomal RNA, 427 nt
Filed under: uncultured bacterium
Lineage: Bacteria
Description: bacterial SSU rRNA
Rfam family: Bacterial small subunit ribosomal RNA
Source: RNAcentral